AGAAUCAACGCUGGCGGCGUGCCUAACACAUGCAAGUCGAACGCGACUGAGGGCUUCGGUUCUCAGUUGAGUGGCGAACGGGUGAGUAACACGUGGGUGAUCUACCUUCGAGCGGGGGAUAACGUUCCGAAAGGAACGCUAAUACCGCAUGACGUUCUGGGUUUAAAGACCUGGAAACCAAAGCCGGGGACCGCAAGGCCUGGCACUUGAAGAGGAGCCCGCGUCCGAUUAGCUAGUUGGCGGGGUAAUGGCCCACCAAGGCGACGAUCGGUAGCCGG
Molecule: ribosomal RNA, 278 nt
Filed under: uncultured bacterium
Lineage: Bacteria
Description: partial small subunit ribosomal RNA
Rfam family: Bacterial small subunit ribosomal RNA
Source: RNAcentral